GCCAAUUUAGCUCAGGCGGUAGAGCAAUUCACUCGUAAUGAAUAGGUCGGGGGUUCGAUUCCCCCAAUUGGCUCCA
Molecule: transfer RNA, 76 nt
Filed under: Clostridiaceae bacterium
Lineage: Bacteria; Bacillati; Bacillota; Clostridia; Eubacteriales; Clostridiaceae
Description: tRNA-Thr
Rfam family: tRNA
About the family: Transfer RNA (tRNA) molecules are approximately 80 nucleotides in length. Their secondary structure includes four short double-helical elements and three loops (D, anti-codon, and T loops). Further hydrogen bonds mediate the characteristic L-shaped molecular structure. tRNAs have two regions of fundamental functional importance: the anti-codon, which is responsible for specific mRNA codon recognition, and the 3' end, to which the tRNAs corresponding amino acid is attached (by aminoacyl-tRNA synthetases). tRNAs cope with the degeneracy of the genetic code in two manners: having more than one tRNA (with a specific anti-codon) for a particular amino acid; and 'wobble' base-pairing, i.e. permitting non-standard base-pairing at the 3rd anti-codon position.
Source: RNAcentral